Chlorocebus sabaeus (green monkey) is the source of this 651-nucleotide non-coding RNA. NCBI's taxonomy places the organism in Eukaryota, Metazoa, Chordata, Mammalia, Primates, Cercopithecidae. The record is from RefSeq and is a predicted model, not a curated record.
GCAGAAAGGAAGUCAAGGAGAUUCAACGUACAGUUCUGAGAAGGGAUUCAGUGUGCCGUUGCUGGCUCUGAGAAGUAGGAGCCUUGUGCAAGGAUUCAGGAAAGGUCUCUAGGAACUGAGGAUGGUUCUCAACUGGCAAACACAAGCAACUGAAUUCGGCCAGGCAUCUGGGUCCUGUGCUAGGGGCGAGGAGGACAGAGAGAAACAGAGUCAGAUCCUCCCACAAAAAUCCACGAGAUGUUGGGGAGCCGAACUUGUAAACAGCCAUCACCAACGCAAAGAAGGAUGCACUGAUGCUAUCCAGAGGUGCACAGGAAAUGGUUCAUGGGCAUAGAGCCCCCUUUUUUCUUAGUGUCUAGGAUAGGCACCAUCUUUGGAAGCAUAGCCUCAAGAUGGUGGCAUGGAGGGGACUGACAGAGGCAGGGGAGCUUCAGGUCUGCUGGCUCUCUCCUCCCUCCUUGUCACCCCUCAACCUCUGGGCUGCCCUUUGGGCUCAUGACGAUGUAUCUCAGAGCCCAAGGGGGUUGGGCUUCCCUUCUGGGGGACUCUGGAAGCUCCUGGGUUAACUACUCUCAGGGCUCUGGUUUUCUCCAUGCAGAUAAAGUACUUGAUUUCCUGGAACAAUUUUUCUUUCUCAGUCUGAGGGCUCUG